GCUCCAGUGGCGCAAUUGGUUAGCGCAUGGUACUGAUACCCCAAUGGGAAUGCAGCAAUGCCGAGGUUGUGAGUUCGAAUCUCACCUGGAGCAUGUCUUUUUUUUUUU
Molecule: microRNA precursor, 108 nt
Organism: Otolemur garnettii (small-eared galago)
Lineage: Eukaryota; Metazoa; Chordata; Mammalia; Primates; Galagidae
Source: Ensembl